GCCAGACUCCUACGGGAGGCAGCAGUGGGGAAUAUUGCACAAUGGGGGAAGCCCUGAUGCAGCGACGCCGCGUGAGCGAUGAAGUAUUUCGGUAUGUAAAGCUCUCUCAGCAGGGAAGAAAAUGACGGUACCUGACUAAGAAGCCCCGGCUAACUACGUGCCAGCAGCCGCGGUAAUACGUAGGGGGCAAGCGUUAUCCGGAUUUACUGGGUGUAAAGGGAGCGUAGACGGUUCUGCAAGCCAGAUGUGAAAGCCCGGGGCGCAACCCCGGGACUGCAUUUGAAACUGUCAGGCUGGAGUGCAGGAGAGGUAAGUGGAAUUCCUAGUGUAGCGGUGAAAUGCGUAGAUAUUAGGAGGAACACCAGUGGCGAAGGCGGCUUACUGGACUGUAACUGACGUUGAGGCUCGAAAGCGUGGGGAGCAAACAGGAUUAGAUACCCUCGUAACU
Molecule: ribosomal RNA, 448 nt
Filed under: uncultured bacterium
Lineage: Bacteria
Description: bacterial SSU rRNA
Rfam family: Bacterial small subunit ribosomal RNA
Source: RNAcentral